GAUAAACGCUGGCGGCGUGCAUGAGACAUGCAAGUCGAACGGACGAUCGAGGCUUGCUUCGAUCGUUAGUGGCGGACGGCUGAGUAACGCGUAGGUGACCUGCCCCGAAGUGGGGAAUAACUGCCCGAAAGGGUGGCUAAUACCGCAUGUGGUGGUGUGUUCAAUCACACCAGUAAAGCCGCAAGGCGCUUCGGGAGGGGCCUGCGUCCGAUUAGCUCGUUGGUGGGGAACGGCUCACCAAGGCGACGAUCGGUAGGUGGUCUGAGAGGACGAUCACCCAGACUGGGACUGAGACACGGCCCAGACUCCUACGGGAGGCAGCAGUCGGGAAUUUUGCGCAAUGGACGAAAGUCUGACGCAGCAACGCCGCGUGAGGGAUGACGGCCU
This 387-nucleotide ribosomal RNA is filed under the name uncultured bacterium. RNAcentral describes it as "bacterial SSU rRNA". It matches the Rfam family "Bacterial small subunit ribosomal RNA", at positions 28 to 417 of the family's 1533-position model. The record is from RNAcentral.